RNAcentral lists this small RNA (17 nucleotides) under Arabidopsis thaliana (thale cress). RNAcentral's name for it is "ATSL022410". The record is from RNAcentral. Lineage: Eukaryota; Viridiplantae; Streptophyta; Magnoliopsida; Brassicales; Brassicaceae.
AGACAAGCUGAGCACAA